GAACGCACAUUGCACCCUCUGGUAUUCCGGAGGGUAUGCCUGUUUGAGUGUCAUUAAUCUCUCAACACUGACAGGGUUCUUCCUUGUUCUGAUGCUUGGAUGCUGAAGGCUUGCUGGCAAUUUUAUUAAUGUCAGCUCCUUUUAAAUGCAUUAGCAGAAACCAAUGUAAAGCUGGCUUCAGUUUGAUAACACAUUUAUCUAAGGGCUGUUGCUGGUAAAAGCUAUAUUGUUUCAGCUUCAAAUUGUCCAUUUUUCAUGGACUGUCUCUUGAGAGGCAUAUACAACUUGACACUUGACCUCAAAUCAGGUAGGAUUACCCGCUGAACUUAAG
Molecule: unclassified non-coding RNA, 331 nt
Filed under: uncultured Clavaria
Lineage: Eukaryota; Fungi; Basidiomycota; Agaricomycetes; Agaricales; Clavariaceae
Description: sequence contains 5.8S rRNA gene
Rfam family: 5.8S ribosomal RNA (bases 1-53)
Source: RNAcentral